CCUACGGGAGGCAGCAGUGGGGGAUAUUGCACAAUGGGGGAAACCCUGAUGCAGCGACGCCGCGUGUGGGAAGACGGUCCUCUGGAUUGUAAACCACUGUCCCCAGGGACGAAGAUGACGGUACCUGGGGAGGAAGCUCCGGCUAACUACGUGCCAGCAGCCGCGGUACUACGUAGGGUGCGAGCGUUGUCCGGAAUUACGGGGUGUAAAGGGAGCUGAGGCGGGACUGCAAGUUGGGUGUCAAAUCUACCGGCUCAACCGGUAGCCGCACUCAAAACUGCAGUUCUUGAGUGAAGUAGAGGCAGGCGGAAUUCCUAGUGUAGCGGUGAAAUGCGUAGAUAUUAGGAGGAACACCAGUGGCGAAGGCGGCCUGCUGGGCUUUUACUGACGCUGAGGCUCGAAAGUGUGGGGAGCAAACAGGAUUAGAUACCCGUGUAGUC
This 440-nucleotide ribosomal RNA is filed under the name uncultured bacterium. RNAcentral's name for it is "partial 16S ribosomal RNA". It matches the Rfam family "Bacterial small subunit ribosomal RNA", at positions 338 to 795 of the family's 1533-position model. The record is from RNAcentral.